Molecule: transfer RNA, 69 nt
Filed under: Opisthorchis sudarikovi
Lineage: Eukaryota; Metazoa; Platyhelminthes; Trematoda; Opisthorchiida; Opisthorchiidae
Description: tRNA-Lys
Rfam family: tRNA
About the family: Transfer RNA (tRNA) molecules are approximately 80 nucleotides in length.
Source: RNAcentral
UUAUAGGUAGCUUAACUGUUUAAAGCCCCGGAUUCUUACUCCGGUGAUGUCUUUUUAGGAUUCUAUAAA